RNAcentral lists this long non-coding RNA (831 nucleotides) under Mytilus galloprovincialis (Mediterranean mussel). The record is from RNAcentral. Lineage: Eukaryota; Metazoa; Mollusca; Bivalvia; Mytilida; Mytilidae.
GACAAAUUUAUUUUGUAAAGGUAGAUAACUCCUAUAAAAUUUCAUCAAAUCGCUUCGAUCCAAUUAGCCAAAAAUUCCUGAGGAUGUAACGAACAAUUUGUAAAAAGAAUUUUGUCGAUAUCUUUUUUUGUUACAAAGGAGAUGCACUCGGAUGAUAAACAGUGAAUAGGGAGAUAACUCUUACAAAGAAAAUGGUUCGCCUUAGCAGGGUGAAAUUUAAAAGCGCAUGACCUAUACGAUACCAUAUGAGAAAUAUCUAAGCGACAUAUUGCGAAACAAACAUUUAUCGCAAGAACAAAAUUUGGCGGAAGAAAAAAAAAAAAUAACAAAUAUUAAAAACCAAUUGUUCAGAGAACAAUUGAAAGUCUCUUUCCACCGGUAAAGAUCUAUUUUGAUAUAAAAAUAUUAAAAAUCAGUCUAAAAUGUCACUUCCUAUGGCUUUAUGAUGUAUAAAUAUGAAUUUAAAGCAAAAGUCAAAAUCUAGAACGUCCUAUUAACCAAUGACCUUGAGCUCAUUUUCAAGGUCAAAAACCAAGGACCUCAAAUCAAAAGAUGCAAGGUCUUAUAAUAUGUAUGGAUAAUGAGUUAUAUCACUUUAUGCAUAAUUCUAAAUAUAAGAUGGGCUAAAACUCCCAUUUAUUGUUUACGCACCCUUUCAACCAAAAUUUAUAAGUUACGACAUGUCGUAACUCACAAUUUAGUAAAAAUAACAUGUCGAUAUGUUAUACGGUUUUUGAAGAAAAGUGAAAAUAAGCCAAAAUCAAAAUUUAUAAUAUGACCUUGACCUUUGACCUUGACCUUAUUUUCAUUUUUUUGGACCAAGGACUUAAA